ACGUAGGGGGCGAGCGUUGUCCGGAAUUACUGGGCGUAAAGGGUGCGUAGGCGGUUGAUUAAGUCUCAUGUGAAAUACCCGGGCUUAACUUGGGGGUUGCAUGGGAAACUGGCUGACUUGAGUGCAGGAGAGGUAAGUGGAAUUCCUAGUGUAGCGGUGAAAUGCGUAGAUAUUAGGAGGAACACCAGUGGCGAAGGCGACUUACUGGACUGCAACUGACGCUGAGGCACGAAAGCGUGGGGAGCAAACAG
Molecule: ribosomal RNA, 251 nt
Filed under: uncultured prokaryote
Description: partial 16S rRNA
Rfam family: Bacterial small subunit ribosomal RNA
Source: RNAcentral